This 495-nucleotide ribosomal RNA is filed under the name uncultured bacterium. RNAcentral describes it as "partial 16S ribosomal RNA". It matches the Rfam family "Bacterial small subunit ribosomal RNA", at positions 29 to 506 of the family's 1533-position model. The record is from RNAcentral.
AUGAACGCUGGCGGCGUGCCUAAUACAUGCAAGUCGCGCGAACGGACGAGAAGCUUGCUUCUCUGAUGUUAGCGGCGGACGGGUGAGUAACACGUGGAUAACCUACCUAUAAGACUGGGAUAACUUCGGGAAACCGUAGCUAAUACCGGAUAAUAUUUUGAACCGCAUGGUUCAAAAGUGAAAGACGGUCUUGCUGUCACUUAUAGAUGGAUCCGCGCUGCAUUAGCUAGUUGGUAAGGUAACGGCUUACCAAGGCAACGAUGCAUAGCCGACCUGAGAGGGUGAUCGGCCACACUGGAACUGAGACACGGUCCAGACUCCUACGGGAGGCAGCAGUAGGGAAUCUUCCGCAAUGGGCGAAAGCCUGACGGAGCAACGCCGCGUGAGUGAUGAAGGUCUUCGGAUCGUAAAACUCUGUUAUUAGGGAAGAACAUAUGUGUAAGUAACUGUGCACAUCUUGACGGUACCUAAUCAGAAAGCCACGGCUAACUACGU